CUACGGGGCGCUGCAGGCGAGAAAACUUUGCAAUGUGCGAAAGCACGGCAAGGUUAAUCCGAGUGGUUUGUGCUAAACGAACCUUUUGACAGUCCUAGAAACACUGUUGAAUAAGGGGUGGGCAAGUUCUGGUGUCAGCCGCCGCGGUAAAACCAGUCACCUCAAGUGGUCAGGAUGAUUAUUGGGCCUAAAGCAUCCGUAGCCGGCUCUGUAAGUUUUCGGUUAAAUCUGUACGCUCAACGUACAGGCUGCCGGGAAUACUGCAGAGCUAGGGAGUGGGAGAGGUAGACGGUACUCGGUAGGAAGGGGUAAAAUCCUUUGAUCUAUUGAUGACCACCUGUGGCGAAGGCGGUCUACCAGAACACGUCCGACGGUGAGGGAUGAAAGCUGGGGGAGCAAACCGGAUUAGAUACCCCAGUAGUC
Molecule: ribosomal RNA, 423 nt
Filed under: uncultured archaeon
Lineage: Archaea
Description: partial 16S ribosomal RNA
Rfam family: Archaeal small subunit ribosomal RNA
Source: RNAcentral